AUGGCUUUGUGGUGUUUUGGUUAAGAUCAAGUGAAGUAUUUGGUAUGAUUAGUUUAAUAUCUGAUGCAUCUUUGACGUAGAAAAAAAUGUAAAAUUGAUUUAUGGAGCUAGAAGCCACAAACAAAAUGCAUUUCCUGUACUAAAUGGAUCAACCUGUUAUUAUAGCCCUGAUGUAUGAAUGGCAGCACACAUU
Molecule: small nuclear RNA, 193 nt
Organism: Thalassophryne amazonica
Lineage: Eukaryota; Metazoa; Chordata; Actinopteri; Batrachoidiformes; Batrachoididae
Product: U2 spliceosomal RNA
Exons: 1
Source: RefSeq, a predicted model, not a curated record